GAUCAUUAUCGAGUUUUGAACGGGUUGUAGCUGGCCUCUCACGAGGCAUGUGCACGCCUGGCUCAUCCACUCUUAACCUCUGUGCACUUUAUGUAAGAGAAAAAAAUGGUGGAAGCUUCCAGGAUCUCGCGAGAGGUCUUUGGUUGAACAAGCCGUUUUUCUUUCUUAUGUUUUACUACAAACGCUUCAGUUAUAGAAUGUCAACUGUGUAUAACACAUUUAUAUACAACUUUCAGCAACGGAUCUCUUGGCUCUCGCAUCGAUGAAGAACGCAGCGAAAUGCGAUAAGUAAUGUGAAUUGCAGAAUUCAGUGAAUCAUCGAAUCUUUGAACGCACCUUGCACUCCUUGGUAUUCCGAGGAGUAUGCCUGUUUGAGUCUCAUGGUAUUCUCAACCCCUAAAUUUUUGUAAUGAAGGUUUAGCGGGCUUGGACUUGGAGGUUGUGUCGGCCCUUGUCGGUCGACUCCUCUGAAAUGCAUUAGCGUGAAUCUUACGGAUCGCCUUCAGUGUGAUAAUUAUCUGCGCUGUGGUGUU
This 533-nucleotide ribosomal RNA is filed under the name fungal endophyte. Its description in RNAcentral is "eukaryotic LSU rRNA". The stretch from base 228 to 381 matches the Rfam family "5.8S ribosomal RNA". Lineage: Eukaryota; Fungi. The record is from RNAcentral.